Molecule: ribosomal RNA, 317 nt
Filed under: Meriderma sp. MInoue-2025c
Lineage: Eukaryota; Evosea; Eumycetozoa; Stemonitida; Stemonitidae
Also listed under: 3 other names
Description: bacterial SSU rRNA
Rfam family: Eukaryotic small subunit ribosomal RNA
Source: RNAcentral
UCUGAAUCUGCGUACGGCUCCGCACACCAGUUGUAAACCAAAGCAAGCAAGCCCGGUCUCGACGCCUUUCGGGGCUAGGGGCCGGGCUACAAGGAUAACCCUGGUAAUUCUGAGGCUAAUACUUGACACGAACCUGCUGACUGGGUCUCGGCUCGGGAGGUGGGGGAUGUGCGACUAUCGGGCCAACGAAACCGGAAAGAGCGCACGUUCAGACCACUUAAAAAGGCUUCGGGGUCCCUCGGGAUCCCGGGGCUGUGGCUCUUGCAGCGUGCUUCUGACCUAUCAACUAGACGGCAGCCUAAGGGACAUGCUUUGGU